UGAGCAAUCUGCCCUUCUCAUCGGAAUAAGCGUUGGAAACGACGUCUAAUGCCGAAUACGACCUCCUUUCGCAUGAUCGGAGGUGGAAAGCUCCGGCGGAGAAGGAUGAGCUCGCGGCCUAUCAGCUAGUUGGUGUGGGUAAUGGCCCACCAAGGCGGCGACGGGUAGCCGGCCUGAGAGGGCGACCGGCCACACUGGGACUGAGAUACGGCCCAGACUCCUACGGGAGCAG
This 232-nucleotide ribosomal RNA is filed under the name uncultured bacterium. RNAcentral describes it as "partial 16S ribosomal RNA". It matches the Rfam family "Bacterial small subunit ribosomal RNA", at positions 118 to 347 of the family's 1533-position model. The record is from RNAcentral.